AACGGUCUAUACCUGCGGUACCUGCGGAAGGAUCAUUAUUGAAUAACUUGGUGCUGAGCUGGCCCAUUGGGCAUGUGCUCGCGCCAUAUUAUUUAUCUAUCUCUUGUGCACCUCUUGUAGUCUCUGAAGACUCGCAGUCAAAUGCGGGUUUGGGGUUUGGGCUUUUCUGUCCUCUCCCUGCUUGCUUCAGAGGCUAUGAUUUUAUACACACUGUUGAAGUUACAGAAUGUCUCUUAUUGA
This 240-nucleotide unclassified non-coding RNA is filed under the name soil metagenome. RNAcentral describes it as "partial contains 5.8S ribosomal RNA, internal transcribed spacer 2, and large subunit ribosomal RNA". The record is from RNAcentral.